This 468-nucleotide ribosomal RNA is filed under the name uncultured bacterium. Its description in RNAcentral is "partial 16S ribosomal RNA". It matches the Rfam family "Bacterial small subunit ribosomal RNA", at positions 28 to 507 of the family's 1533-position model. The record is from RNAcentral.
GACGAACGCUGGCGGCGUGCUUAACACAUGCAAGUCGAACGGAAAGGCCCUGCUUUUGUGGGGUGCUCGAGUGGCGAACGGGUGAGUAACACGUGAGUAACCUGCCCUUGACUUUGGGAUAACUUCAGGAAACUGGGGCUAAUACCGGAUAGGAGCUCCUGCUGCAUGGUGGGGGUUGGAAAGUUUCGGCGGUUGGGGAUGGACUCGCGGCUUAUCAGCUUGUUGGUGGGGUAGUGGCUUACCAAGGCUUUGACGGGUAGCCGGCCUGAGAGGGUGACCGGCCACAUUGGGACUGAGGUACGGCGCAGACUCCUACGGGAGGCAGCAGUGGGGAAUAUUGCACAAUGGGCGGGAGCCUGAUGCAGCAACGCCGCGUGCGGGAUGACGGCCUUCGGGUUGUAAACCGCUUUCGCCUGUGACGAAGCGUGAGUGACGGUAAUGGGUAAAGAAGCACCGGCUAACUACGUG